GGUGGUUCUCUGGUGAUGAACCCCAGAAUUGGGUUCCCUCCUCUCUGGUUCCAGGGUGCAUCACUCAAGGACCACC
This is a non-coding RNA of Myotis davidii, 76 nucleotides long. The record is from Rfam. NCBI's taxonomy places the organism in Eukaryota, Metazoa, Chordata, Mammalia, Chiroptera, Vespertilionidae.